AGAACGAACGCUGGCGGCAUGCCUAACACAUGCAAGUCGAACGCUCUUGGUUUCGGCCAAGGGAGUGGCGCACGGGUGAGUAACGCGUGGGAACCUGCCCUGGAGUGGGGGAUAACCGAGGGAAACCUCGGCUAAUACCGCAUACGACCUGAGGGUGAAAGAUUUAUCGCUCUAGGAGGGGCCCGCGUCGGAUUAGCUAGUUGGUGAGGUAACGGCCCACCAAGGCUAUGAUCCGUAGCUGGUCUGAGAGGAUGAUCAGCCACACUGGGACUGAGACACGGCCCAGACUCCUACGGGAGGCAGCAGUGGGGAAUAUUGGACAAUGGGCGCAAGCCUGAUCCAGCAAUGCCGCGUGAGUGAUGAAGGCCUUAGGGUUGUAAAGCUCUUUCACACGCGACGAUGAUGACGGUAGCGUGAGAAGAAGCCCCGGCUAACUUCGCGCCAGCAGCCGC
RNAcentral lists this ribosomal RNA (452 nucleotides) under uncultured bacterium. RNAcentral describes it as "SSU rRNA". It matches the Rfam family "Bacterial small subunit ribosomal RNA", at positions 26 to 518 of the family's 1533-position model. The record is from RNAcentral.